RNAcentral lists this ribosomal RNA (444 nucleotides) under Triticum aestivum (bread wheat). RNAcentral describes it as "partial small subunit ribosomal RNA". The record is from RNAcentral. Lineage: Eukaryota; Viridiplantae; Streptophyta; Magnoliopsida; Poales; Poaceae.
AUGACAAAGGUGGUUUGGGGGAACUGGGCGCCUUCAAAGUGUAAGUUCUUUGCGUGGCUUGUUAUCAAGGAUAGAGUGUGGACGGCUGACCAUUUGCAGCGACGAGGAUGGCCGAAUUGCAAUUUAUGCCAACUAUGCAAGAGGGAGCCUGAGACGGCGGCGCAUUUACUGUUCAAGUGCAGAUACUCCACCCGCAUAUGGAACGCGAUGAGAUGCUGGUUGGAUGCACCUGAGCUGGACACUAUCGCUUGGGCAAGGAUCCCAACGGUCCAGGAGUGGUGGGCUAGGACUGUGCUCGAGCGUGGGCACCGGAGAAAAGUCGUAUCCUCACUUAUAUCGCUUGUAUCCUGGGAGCUUUGGAAAGAGCGAAAUGCGAGGGUGUUCCAGAAGAAAUUUCCUAUGCCAACAAUCGUGUUCGCAGGCAUGGGUCUUGGCCGGGGCUAA